RNAcentral lists this long non-coding RNA (231 nucleotides) under Salvia miltiorrhiza (redroot sage). RNAcentral describes it as "long non-coding RNA (SMIL_LNC014147)". The record is from RNAcentral. Lineage: Eukaryota; Viridiplantae; Streptophyta; Magnoliopsida; Lamiales; Lamiaceae.
GAGCUUUAGAUUGAAUGGGUUUGGAUUAGUUCAAACAUAUUUGCAUGUUUAUGAUAAGUCGAUCGGGCGGCUGGAUGAUCUAGUCACCGGCUAAAUGAACUCUUGAUUAAUAUCUGUCAAAUUAUUAUCUUUUUCCAGAUUUCCCUUACACAUUUCUGACUUAUAGUUGUCAACUCGGUCAAAUGUGUAAGACUUUUUCACAAAAAAUUAAGCAAAAUCAUAUGUUUAAAG